GACGAACGCUGGCGGCGUGCUUAACACAUGCAAGUCGAACGGAAAGGCCCUGCUUUUGUGGGGUGCUCGAGUGGCGAACGGGUGAGUAACACGUGAGUAACCUGCCCUGGACUUUGGGAUAACUUCAGGAAACUGGGGCUAAUACCGGAUAGGAGCUCCUGCUGCAUGGAGGGGGUGGGAAAGUUUCGGCGGUUGGGGAUGGACUCGCGGCUUAUCAGCUUGUUGGUGGGGUAGUGGCUUACCAAGGCUUUGACGGGUAGCCGGCCUGAGAGGGUGACCGGCCCCAUUGGGACUGAGAUGCGGCCCAGACUCCUACGCGAGGCAGCAGUGGGGAAUAUUGCACAAUGGGCGGAACCCUGAUGCAGCAACGCCGCGUGCGGGAUGACGGCCUUCGGGUUGUAAUCCGCUUUCGCCUGUGACGAAGCGUGAGUGACGGUAAUGGGUAAAGAAGCACCGGCUAACUACGUG
This 468-nucleotide ribosomal RNA is filed under the name uncultured bacterium. Its description in RNAcentral is "partial 16S ribosomal RNA". It matches the Rfam family "Bacterial small subunit ribosomal RNA", at positions 28 to 507 of the family's 1533-position model. The record is from RNAcentral.